AGACCCGAAACCCGGUGAUCUAGCCAUGGGCAGGUUGAAGGUUGGGUAACACUAACUGGAGGACCGAACCGACUAAUGUUGAAAAAUUAGCGGAUGACCUGUGGCUGGGGGUGAAAGGCCAAUCAAACCGGGAGAUAGCUGGUUCUCCCCGAAAGCUAUUUAGGUAGCGCCUCGUGAAUUCAUCUCCGGGGGUAGAGCACUGUUUCGGCUAGGGGGCCAUCCCGGCUUACCAACCCGAUGCAAACUGCGAAUACCGGAGAAUGUUAUCACGGGAGACACACGGCGGGUGCUAACGUCCGUCGUGAAGAGGGAAACAACCCAGACCGCCAGCUAAGGUCCCAAAGUCAUGGUUAAGUGGGAAACGAUGUGGGAAGGCCCAGACAGCCAGGAUGUUGGCUUAGAAGCAGCCAUCAUUUAAAGAAAGCGUAAUAGCUCACUGGUCGAGUCGGCCUGCGCGGAAGAUGUAACGGGGCUAAACCAUGCACCGAAGCUGCGGCAGCGAACGUAUCACUUAAAGCGAUUCAGCGGGUUACGAUUGACGGAGCGAAGCGACGUCAAAGCGUAUACAAAGUCGAGUCGGUUUAAGGAUACGUUCGUUGGGUAGGGGAGCGUUCUGUAAGCCUGUGAAGGUGGCCUGUGAGGGUUGCUGGAGGUAUCAGAAGUGCGAAUGCUGACAUAAGUAACGAUAAAGCGGGUGAAAAGCCCGCUCGCCGGAAGACCAAGGGUUCCUGUCCAACGUUAAUCGGGGCAGGGUGAGUCGACCCCUAAGGCGAGGCCGAAAGGCGUAGUCGAUGGGAAACAGGUUAAUAUUCCUGUACUUGGUGUUACUGCGAAGGGGGGACGGAGAAGGCUAUGUUGGCCGGGCGACGGUUGUCCCGGUUUAAGCGUGUAGGUGUGUGUUCCAGGUAAAUCCGGUUCACUUUAACACUGAGGCGUGAUGACGAGGCACUACGGUGCUGAAGCAACAAAUGCCCUGCUUCCAGGAAAAGCCUCUAAGCAUCAGGUAACAUCAAAUCGUACCCCAAACCGACACAGGUGGUCAGGUAGAGAAUACCAAGGCGCUUGAGAGAACUCGGGUGAAGGAACUAGGCAAAAUGGUGCCGUAACUUCGGGAGAAGGCACGCUGACACGUAGGUGAAGUGAUUUACUCAUGGAGCUGAAGUCAGUCGAAGAUACCAGCUGGCUGCAACUGUUUAUUAAAAACACAGCACUGUGCAAACACGAAAGUGGACGUAUACGGUGUGACGCCUGCCCGGUGCCGGAAGGUUAAUUGAUGGGGUCAGCGCAAGCGAAGCUCCUGAUCGAAGCCCCGGUAAACGGCGGCCGUAACUAUAACGGUCCUAAGGUAGCGAAAUUCCUUGUCGGGUAAGUUCCGACCUGCACGAAUGGCGUAAUGAUGGCCAGGCUGUCUCCACCCGAGACUCAGUGAAAUUGAACUCGCUGUGAAGAUGCAGUGUACCCGCGGCAAGACGGAAAGACCCCGUGAACCUUUACUAUAGCUUGACACUGAACAUUGAGCCUUGAUGUGUAGGAUAGGUGGGAGGCUUUGAAGUGUGGACGCCAGUCUGCAUGGAGCCGACCUUGAAAUACCACCCUUUAAUGUUUGAUGUUCUAACGUGGACCCGUAAUCCGGGUUGCGGACAGUGUCUGGUGGGUAGUUUGACUGGGGCGGUCUCCUCCUAAAGAGUAACGGAGGAGCACGAAGGUUGGCUAAUCCUGGUCGGACAUCAGGAGGUUAGUGCAAUGGCAUAAGCCAGCUUGACUGCGAGCGUGACGGCGCGAGCAGGUGCGAAAGCAGGUCAUAGUGAUCCGGUGGUUCUGAAUGGAAGGGCCAUCGCUCAACGGAUAAAAGGUACUCCGGGGAUAACAGGCUGAUACCGCCCAAGAGUUCAUAUCGACGGCGGUGUUUGGCACCUCGAUGUCGGCUCAUCACAUCCUGGGGCUGAAGUAGGUCCCAAGGGUAUGGCUGUUCGCCAUUUAAAGUGGUACGCGAGCUGGGUUUAGAACGUCGUGAGACAGUUCGGUCCCUAUCUGCCGUGGGCGCUGGAGAACUGAGGGGGGCUGCUCCUAGUACGAGAGGACCGGAGUGGACGCAUCACUGGUGUUCGGGUUGUCAUGCCAAUGGCACUGCCCGGUAGCUAAAUGCGGAAGAGAUAAGUGCUGAAAGCAUCUAAGCACGAAACUUGCCCCGAGAUGAGUUCUCCCUGAGACUUAGAGUCUCCUGAAGGAACGUUGAAGACGACGACGUUGAUAGGCCGGGUGUGUAAGCGCAGCGAUGCGUUGAGCUAACCGGUACUAAUGAACCGUGAGG
RNAcentral lists this ribosomal RNA (2311 nucleotides) under Salmonella enterica subsp. enterica serovar Newport. RNAcentral describes it as "partial 23S ribosomal RNA". It matches the Rfam family "Bacterial large subunit ribosomal RNA", at positions 711 to 2915 of the family's 2925-position model. The record is from RNAcentral. Lineage: Bacteria; Pseudomonadati; Pseudomonadota; Gammaproteobacteria; Enterobacterales; Enterobacteriaceae.